GAUGAACGCUGGCGGCGUGCCUAAUACAUGCAAGUCGAGCGAACAGACGAGGAGCUUGCUCCUCUGACGUUAGCGGCGGACGGGUGAGUAACACGUGGAUAACCUACCUAUAAUACUGGGAUAACUUCGGGAAACCGGAGCUAAUACCGGAUAAUAUAUUGAACCGCAUGGUUCAAUAGUGAAAGACGGUUUUGCUGUCACUUAUAGAUGGAUCCGCGCCGCAUUAGCUUGUUGGUAAGGUAACGGCUUACCAAGGCAACGAUGCGUAGCCGACCUGAUAGGGUGAUCGGCCAAACUGGAACUGAGACACGGUCCAGACUCCUACGGGAGGCAGCCGUAGGGAAUCUUCCGCAAUGGGCGAAAGCCUGACGGAGCAACGCCGCGUGAGUGAUGAAGGUCUUCGGAUCGUAAAACUCUGUUAUUAGGGAAGAACAAAUGUGUAAGUAACUAUGCACGUCUUGACGGUACCUAAUCAGAAAGCCACGGCUAACUACGUG
RNAcentral lists this ribosomal RNA (497 nucleotides) under uncultured bacterium. RNAcentral's name for it is "partial 16S ribosomal RNA". It matches the Rfam family "Bacterial small subunit ribosomal RNA", at positions 28 to 507 of the family's 1533-position model. The record is from RNAcentral.